CCCUUAGACGUUCUGGGCCGCACGCGCGCUACACUGACACAGGCAACGAGCUUUCCUUUACCGAAAGGUAUGGGUAAUCUUUUGAAACUGUGUCGUGCUGGGGAUAGAUCCUUGCAAUUUUUGAUCUUAAACGAGGAAUUCCUAGUAAGCGCGAGUCAUCAACUCGCGUUGAUUACGUCCCUGCCCUUUGUACACACCGCCCGUCGCUACUACCGAUUGAAUGGCUUAGUGAGACCUCAGGAUCCGCGCUUAAUGUGUGGAGAAUUUGGACAAACUACGUCAUUUAGAGGAAGUAAAAGUCGUAACA
This 307-nucleotide ribosomal RNA is filed under the name uncultured eukaryote. RNAcentral describes it as "partial 18S ribosomal RNA". It matches the Rfam family "Eukaryotic small subunit ribosomal RNA", at positions 1470 to 1796 of the family's 1831-position model. The record is from RNAcentral.